AGAAUCAACGCUGGCGGCGUGCCUAACACAUGCAAGUCGCACGAGAAAGGGACUUCGGUCCUGAGUACAGUGGCGCACGGGUGAGUAACACGUGAAUCAUCUACCUUCGAGUGGGGAAUAACUGAGAGAAAUCUUAGCUAAUACCGCAUAACACCCACGGGUCAAAGCAGCAAUGCGCUUGAAGAGGAGUUCGCGGCAGAUUAGUUAGUUGGCGGGGUAAUGGCCACCAAGACGAUGAUCUGUA
This 244-nucleotide ribosomal RNA is filed under the name uncultured bacterium. RNAcentral describes it as "partial small subunit ribosomal RNA". It matches the Rfam family "Bacterial small subunit ribosomal RNA", at positions 26 to 285 of the family's 1533-position model. The record is from RNAcentral.